UUAGUUGAAACCAAAUUAGAGGUAUUUUAUUGUUAAUAAAAAAAAUGAAUUAGUAUUCCGAUUAAA
Molecule: transfer RNA, 66 nt
Filed under: Eurhadina cuii
Lineage: Eukaryota; Metazoa; Arthropoda; Insecta; Hemiptera; Cicadellidae
Description: tRNA-Asn
Source: RNAcentral